CAGUAGCCGCGGGAAUACGAAGGGUGCAAGCGUUAAUCGGAAUUACUGGGCGUAAAGCGUGCGUAGGUGGUGGUUUAAGUCCGUUGUGAAAUUCCUGGGCUUAACCUGGGGGCUGCAUUUGAGACGUCAAGACUAGAGUGUGAGAGAGGGUUGUGGAAUUCCCAGUGUAGAGGUGAAAUUCGUAGAUAUGCGGAGGAACACCGAUGGCGAAGGCAGCCCCCUGGGCCAACACUGACGCUGAGGCACGAAAGCGUGGGGAGCAAACAGGAUUAGAGACCCCGGUAGUCCCUGUCUCUUAUAC
This 301-nucleotide ribosomal RNA is filed under the name uncultured bacterium. RNAcentral's name for it is "partial 16S ribosomal RNA". It matches the Rfam family "Bacterial small subunit ribosomal RNA", at positions 509 to 807 of the family's 1533-position model. The record is from RNAcentral.